RNAcentral lists this ribosomal RNA (484 nucleotides) under uncultured bacterium. RNAcentral describes it as "partial 16S ribosomal RNA". It matches the Rfam family "Bacterial small subunit ribosomal RNA", at positions 30 to 507 of the family's 1533-position model. The record is from RNAcentral.
AUUGAACGCUGGCGGCAGGCCUAACACAUGCAAGUCGAGCGGAUGAAGGGAGCUUGCUCCUGGAUUCAGCGACGGACGGGUGAGUAAUGCCUAGGAAUCUGCCUGGUAGUGGGGGAUAACGUCCGGAAACGGGCGCUAAUACCGCAUACGUCCUGAGGGAGUAAGUGGGGGAUCUUCGGACCUCACGCUAUCAGAUGAGCCUAGGUCGGAUUAGCUAGUUGGUGGGGUAAAGGCCUACCAAGGCGACGAUCCGUAACUGGUCUGAGAGGAUGAUCAGUCAGACGGGAACUGAGACACGGUCCAGACUCCUACGGGAGGCAGCAGUGGGGAAUAUUGGACAAUGGGCGAAAGCCUGAUCCAGCCAUGACGCGUGUGUGAAGAAGGUCUUCGGAUUGUAAAGCACUUUAAGUUGGGAGGAAGGGCAGUAAGUUAAUACCUUGCUGUUUAGACGUUACCAACAGAAUACGCACCGGCUAACUUCGUG